This 300-nucleotide ribosomal RNA is filed under the name uncultured bacterium. Its description in RNAcentral is "bacterial SSU rRNA". It matches the Rfam family "Bacterial small subunit ribosomal RNA", at positions 29 to 355 of the family's 1533-position model. The record is from RNAcentral.
AGCGAACGCUGGCGGCAGGCUUAACACAUGCAAGUCGAACGGGCGUAGCAAUACGUCAGUGGCAGACGGGUGAGUAACGCGUGGGAACGUACCUUUUGGUUCGGAACAACCCAGGGAACUUGGGCUAAUACCGGAUAAGCCCUUACGGGGAAAGAUUUAUCGCCGAAGGAUCGGCCCGCGUCUGAUUAGCUAGUUGGUGUGGUAACGGCGCACCAAGGCGACGAUCAGUAGCUGGUCUGAGAGGAUGAUCAGCCACAUUGGGACUGAGACACGGCCCAAACUCCUACGGGAGGCAGCAGU